RNAcentral lists this small RNA (83 nucleotides) under Marmota monax (woodchuck). The record is from RNAcentral. Lineage: Eukaryota; Metazoa; Chordata; Mammalia; Rodentia; Sciuridae.
GCUGGGCACAGUGACUCAUGCCUGUAAUCCCAGCAGCUCAGGAGGCUGAAGCAGGAGGAUUGUGAGUUCAAAGCCAGCUUCAG